This 71-nucleotide transfer RNA is filed under the name Mangrovihabitans endophyticus. RNAcentral's name for it is "tRNA-Ala". Lineage: Bacteria; Bacillati; Actinomycetota; Actinomycetes; Micromonosporales; Micromonosporaceae. The record is from RNAcentral.
ACGCAGGUAGGAGGGUUAUCCACCGGUGUGCAGCCUGUGUGAAACCGGGGUACAAACCCCCGUCUGCGUCC